GCCUCGGUGGCGGAAUUGGUAGACGCGCCGGAUUCAAAAUCCGGUUCCUUCACGGGAGUGUCGGUUCGAGUCCGACCCGAGGUACCA
This 87-nucleotide transfer RNA is filed under the name Rickettsiales bacterium. RNAcentral's name for it is "tRNA-Leu". It matches the Rfam family "tRNA". Rfam says of the family: Transfer RNA (tRNA) molecules are approximately 80 nucleotides in length. The record is from RNAcentral. Lineage: Bacteria; Pseudomonadati; Pseudomonadota; Alphaproteobacteria; Rickettsiales.